CAGUCGCCACGGUAAUACGAAGGGUGCAAGCGUUACUCGGAAUUACUGGGCGUAAAGCGUGCAUAGGUGGUGGUUUAAGUCCGUUGUGAAAGCCCUGGGCUCAACCUGGGAAUUGCAGUGGAUACUGGGUCACUAGAGUGUGGUAGAGGAUAGUGGAAUUUCCGGUGUAGCAGUGAAAUGCGUAGAGAUCGGAAGGAACAUCUGUGGCGAAGGCGACUAUCUGGGCCAACACUGACACUGAGGCACGAAAGCGUGGGGAGCAAACAGGAUUAGAGACCCCCGUAGUCCCUGUCUCUUAUAC
This 301-nucleotide ribosomal RNA is filed under the name uncultured bacterium. RNAcentral describes it as "partial 16S ribosomal RNA". It matches the Rfam family "Bacterial small subunit ribosomal RNA", at positions 509 to 807 of the family's 1533-position model. The record is from RNAcentral.